This is a non-coding RNA of Pelobates fuscus (common spadefoot toad), 142 nucleotides long. RefSeq annotates it as small Cajal body-specific RNA 11. The record is from RefSeq and is a predicted model, not a curated record. The transcript has a single exon. NCBI's taxonomy places the organism in Eukaryota, Metazoa, Chordata, Amphibia, Anura, Pelobatidae.
AGGUCCCCCCUUAUUAGUAUUUAGGGCCCCCACCCGCCGCUGAGGGGUGGGGGCCAGGGGGGACUACACUAGGUCCCCUCCCUUAUUCCAAUUUAGGGCCCCCACCCGCCGCUUAGGGGUGGGGGCCAGGGGGGAGGACAUU